GAGAAGUGAUUUAUGUGCCACCGCAUCUGAGAAGUAGAGGCUUGGCUGGUCCGCAAGCUCUGUAUUCAUUUCUCUGUCUCUGUCUCUCUCGUUCUCACCCUGUAAGAGCAGCUUGUCUCCUCACAGUCACAAAACCAACUCAGGAUGGAGCUCUGUGGGGCACACUUCCUCCUGUGCCCAUCCCUGAACCAGGCACCCUGAGGCCACCCUGGGCCAGCUCACAGUCUAGAGGAAAGCGUGGUGGGAGAGCUGUCCCAGGAUUUGGGGCUUUAGGAGCAUUGCCAGGUUGACCACCUGUCCUCAAAGGGACGCCCAGCGUUCAGCAGCUCGUGGAGUCAGUCCUGAGCCGAGCUCAGCUUUAGGUUCUGUGAUGAGCUCAAACCAUCUUGCUUAACACACAAAAGGUAGAGCGUCCCAUGCAAGUUCCCACUGAAAUACGCUGGGACUGAAUAAACCAUGUUUCUUCCUCUGCAGGAGAAGCGACCUUCCUGACACAGAGCAGGGCUGGAGGGAACCGGGUCAGGUGCAUUGGUGUCCCCGCUCAGUGGGUGUGAGACUGUCCAGGCUCGGAGAAUUUCCCAUAGCAAACACAACCACUCUAUCAGAGGAACAGUCUGGGAGGACCGGGCCAGGAUCUCCAGACACCUUGAUGGGCUGAGACUCAAUCUGAGAAUGAUGAAUACUCCCUCCAUGACAGAGUUGUAAACUUCCCCCGAAUCAGGGCCCCCUGUUCAUGGCCUCUUGGAAUGUCUCCCAGCUUUUACCCUGAAACUGCUUUGAUUUGUCACUCUUUUUCCAGCCCCCCAGCAGCGCUUCUCCAGCAAGCACAGGCGCCAAGCUCUACAGCUUUAGGAGCAACAUGGCCAGGCUGGGCUUGUGUUCAAAGGGGUAGGUUUGUCCAGUAUCCAAAUAGGUAACUGAUGUCUAGGGCCUGAAGUUGGCUCACAUCUAGAGAUUGAGUUUGCUUCAUGAUGGGGUGGGAUCACAAAGUGAGGUGCCACUGUGUCAUGAGACUCCCAAGGGAAAGCUGGGAGCUAUACGGGCCCAGGGAUAAGACUCCUCAUUCUUGCUAGUCCCUGGGGUGCUUCAGCAUUGCUGUGGGUCCUCUGCACCUGCCUACACCUCUAAGGAUAAAUAGAAAAGCUAUCUUCAGUUAUCCACAUUGGGCGUGCCAUCUGGUCACAUCAGGACCCCACCUGACUCAGGUGUGCCCACACACUGCCAGAGGCAGAUGGGUGUGAGCUUCAGGAGCAGCAUCGUGUCCUCGUCACUCCCUGCACUGACUCUAUUCUCUCCCACGGUGGACCAGCUUCUCCAGGUGGCAGGAAACAUGGAGGUUCACAGCCCCUGAGCCUCAUGUCAUGGAGCCUCGGCCAUUGGAGAAAGAUACGCCAUAUUAGUUCCAAUUUGGAAGGUCUCAGAGAAGGACUAUGAUUGGCUCAGCCUUGGUCAGGUGACCACUUUUAUGGAUAAAUGAAUGGUGGCCAUGAGGGUGGGCUCAUGUGUCCACUGUGAGAUGCUCAUGAAUGUGGCAAAGUGCAUGACAAGGAACUCCUCACAAAGGACCACACCACAGUCACCUUUGUAUCCUCUGUGCCCGGCACAGGGAGGGCCCAGUACAUGUUUACUGAAUGAAUGAUGAGGAGAAGCACGUGGUGACAGAGAAAGGGCUUCUAACCCAGCUGGGCAGAGGCUCCACUCAGUAGAUGAUGCCUGAAUUGAGUCUGAAAGAUAAGUAGGGGUUAGCCAGGCUGCCUAAGGGAUUUGGUGAGGAAGGGGAGAGAAGAGAAGGAGUGUAGAGCCAGAGAAAAAUGGAGGGAGUUAAGCUUUGCUGAAAAAUGAAGGGAUUUUGUGGCAAAGAUAGAAAAUAAAGCUCACAAGGAUGAAGAAGCCACAUGUAAAAUGCACUGAUGAGUGAGGGCUUUCUCUUGUAAGGAGAGAAGAGGGGAGACGUUGACCUGUCAGUGGGCUCUGUCAAUGCCAGGGUCUGGGGAUGGACCCUAGAGGGGAAAUGGAGCACUGGCCUUGUUUCCAAGGGGAUAGUGAUGGGACUUGGGGACAAUCCCCCAGACAAGGUCAGGGCAGCAUCCUCACAGCACUGAGCCUAACAGCAUGGACGCCUGCCUGCCUGGGCAUGAGCCCAGGGUCUGAUCUGACACUUAUUAUGAUUAAGACCUUGGGAAACUCACUUGGGCAUGGACAAGAAGAUGAUGGCAAUGGGCUGAGGUUGUGCUGAGCAUCCCCCACUCCAGCCUCCCUGGAUUCCAUGGACAAGGCCUUGGGAUCAGAUGGCUGCUGCUUCUCCAUAUCCCCCAGGACUUUCUGAAGGUGCCUCCCAGUCAAGCUGGAGCCUCUCCCUGGGAAGGGAAGGUUCCCAGGAUGGGAUGUGGGCACUCCUGUUUGGGACACCUGAGGGCCUGGCCUGGACAGCGGGAGGGAGUGGACUCUGCAGUUCCCAUGCCUGACUGACUGACCUGCAGAAGGCCACAUGAUGGAGACCUGGCUGUCCUUGCAGAGCCCCAGAGUUCUUUAAACAGGACAUGGGCAACUGUGCUAUGCUGGGCUGGAGCACCAGGGCACGCAGUCCAGGAGAGCAGCUGACCCCUGGAGAGCAGGUUCCUCACACGGCCAUCAGCUGGGGAGUGACCCUUCCUGAAUGUGCUCCUGCAUUCCCUUCAUAAGGUUCGGGUCUACAGGCAUGCCUUCGUGGAGACGGUACUGCAAGCUCUAGCAUCCCCUAUGGAGAGACAAAGGAUUCCUCUGGUCACAGCAUUCAUGUCAACAUUUGGUUGACAGUCUCUGCUUAGGAACCUUCACCUUGAAGGAGAGUCUGAUGAGGAAGCAUAUAGAGAUCACUGAGCACUCGUCAGGGUCCACGUGUCAGUUGGCUUGUCACCACUGCUUCUCUGAUGUCCUCUCACCUUUCUGGAGAAAAGAUCAGGUGUUGCUGACUCUCUCUCUGCAAUUUAUCUCCUCAUUUCAAAUCAAAGAGUGAUGUACUAGGUGGGCAACAUUCCAGAAAUAUCAUUGGAAACUGACCUGGGCAUUUACCUUCUGAUCGUCACCCCAGAUGUGGGCCCAGGGCUCUGUGUGUGUCUGUGCCUCCUGGGGCCCUUUCAGGGGCUUCCUCUCCAGGACAGACUUAGGUGUCUGGCUGCACAAAUGCUGAUCCUCUUUCAGAAAGAAGAAGCAGAUGUCUGAGUGCUGGAAACACGUUACUGUAUCCCCAGACUGUAUCUUUGAGACAAUUCUGUCUUUAUCUGAGACUCAGUGAACAAUUGCUCCUAGAAGUGAAAGGCAAGUUUGAGGCUGUUGUGCAGAAAAAUCGCUCAUAAAUAGAGAGAGAAAGCUUGGUCCUCCCACAGUAGUCAGCACUGACUUCUGUGUGUGCAGACAUGGCGAAGGCUCAUUUUUGAAUGUCUCGGCAGGACGAGUCAGACUAGCUAUGCAUUCCAAGUCUCCCUCCAGAGGGCACUUGUCCUCGUGGAGUCUGGGUCUGUGUGCACGUUGAGAUGGGGCGUCUGGCCGAUUACAUCUCCAGGGAUAGAUGCACAGAGUGGCCAGUCUGCCCCAUGGUGGGCUUCCCCAGGCGGUAUCAGAGAGCACGGAAGGGCAGGGUUGUUUGAAGAACAAUGUGUUUGGAGUGACAUUGCCAAGGGAGGACAGUUGACACAUGGCCAUCAUGAAAUGCAUUAAGUGGCUGUCAUAGCGACAGAUAAUAAAAGCCGUGACAGUUAGAGAGAGUGCAGCAGCACAAAAGCUACUUAAAAUGUCAUCAGGCAUUCCUGGUGGGCUCUCCUGGCUGCCGUGGCAUACAUGUUUUGACAAGCAAUUUCCAUCUCCCUUCUAGUUGGAACUGGCUUGUCUUUUUGUUUUCAAAUUUUAAAUGUGUAUCAUCCGACUAGGUUAGGUGUGGAUCUCAUGGACCUAAAAUUCCAGCUUGUCUGAAACCAACUGUUUCCCUUCCUAACUUGGUCCGUGAUCACCUGAACCAGCUCAAGUCACUCUCUCAUAUUCCCUUCAUUCAUCUUGAAUUAUUUAGCUAUAAAUGGAAGUGGCCUCAAGGCUUGGAAACAAGCCCUGGACCAGCCUUGGGCAGUGACUCUGCCCCCAAAGUCCAUUCGUCUUCCUCCUGCUGUAGCAACAGAGCCCACGGUGCACAGCCGGACAUCUGCUCUUCCAGAAUAAGGACUGCAAUUCCCAGCCUCCCUUGCAGCAAGGAGUGGUCACAUGACCAAGGGCUGGCCAAUGGGAUGCGGGAGGAAAUGAUGCGUACUACUUCUGGCUAUGCUGCUAAAGCCCGCGGUCCCUUCCCCUCCAGACGUGGACGGAAGUGGAUGGCUAGCACCAUCUUGGGUGACGAGGAGGGCGGAGGGUCCCCCUGGGCCCGGUGGGGUCCAUAGGGGUGACCCCCUACGGCCACGCCUGGAGUUGGUCACACGGAGCCCCUGGUUGUUUAAGCUGUGACGCGGCUCAGGAUGACGUCCGGCGCUCGGGCAGCUCCUCGUCUGUGCACGUCAGGUGCCCCCUGAGCCGGGCAUGAGGGACAAGCGGCCCUAGAGGGACAGCUCAGCCCCCGGUCGGCGAUGGGUCGGCCGAGCAGCUUCCCUCCGCGGUGGGCGUUCCUCUGGGCUGGGUCACCGAUACCGCGGCGGGUGACACGGUGGGAAGUCCGGCCGCCGGAACAGAGGGACAGGAGCCGCGUGGCCGUUCCGCGGGGUGACGUCUCGGACGCCUCCUGCUAGAUUGAAUCAGUCACGUCCCACGUUCCUGACACUGCUGGUCACUGGGGGUCAAGGCUGACGUGCUCCCUGCCCUCUUAGGAAACAGACAACACACGAUAAAAUGAGUAGCAGAGCAGGACGACUGUAGACAGUGAUGUUUGCUACAACAGAAGUAACUCAGCGAUGAGAGGAGAUUAACAGGGAGGCCACUUCCACAGAGUUGGAGGCGUUCUCUGCAAAGUGACUUUUCUGCUGAGAAUGGAAGGAGAGAAGGAGCCAGCCAUACAUAUGUCUCAGGAAGAACAUUCUAGGCAGAGGGAAGAGCAAAUGCAAAGUUCCACAAGAUGGGACAAAGUUUGGAGCAUUUGACAAACUGAAGGAUCUGAGUGCAGCUGGAGUGAAGGGUGUGAGUGAUGGCACGUCCCCACAAGGUGCACUUGGAGAGGGCGGUGGGGCCAGGUCAGGUUCAGCUUCACAGGUCAUGGUGAAGAGUUUGGACCGCCUCCUCAAGGCGGGGGAAGGCAAUUGAGAAGUUGGCCUCCGUCAGACCCAGACCCCACGGUCUUCUGCAGAAGCUGUCUUCUACCAUCUUCUGGUGCAUCCCCCAUCCUCCUGCCUCAGUGGUCUUUCUCUGGAGAAUGGCCUUCCUCUCUGGGACCGGCUGCCCUCUCAAGGUGCCCAUCCACUGUGUUGGGGCACUUCCAGGUCUCUGCGUGACCUGGGGGCUUGCAGGAAGUUGACAAGGUCCUCUGGAUACCAGUGGAGCCUGGUGGAGAAAUGCAGACCAGACGGCAGCUCAGAAGGGAGACCUGGGCUUGGUGGGCCUGGCAGGGGCCUGGGAGGAGCUGCAGUGCACCCCGGUGCCUGUCCUCACCAGUGUUCCCACUGACUGGGUUUGUACCCAGAAUGCA
Molecule: long non-coding RNA, 5635 nt
Organism: Equus caballus (horse)
Lineage: Eukaryota; Metazoa; Chordata; Mammalia; Perissodactyla; Equidae
Source: Ensembl